This 492-nucleotide ribosomal RNA is filed under the name uncultured bacterium. Its description in RNAcentral is "partial 16S ribosomal RNA". It matches the Rfam family "Bacterial small subunit ribosomal RNA", at positions 29 to 507 of the family's 1533-position model. The record is from RNAcentral.
AGUGAACGCUGGCGGUAUGCCUAACACAUGCAAGUCGAACGGCAGCACAGUAAGAUUUUGCUCUUACGGGUGGCGAGUGGCGGACGGGUGAGGCAUACAUCGGAAUCUUCUUUUUCGUGGGGGAUAACGUAGGGAAACUUACGCUAAUACCGCAUACGUUCUACGGGUGAAAUCAGGGGAUCUUCGGACCUUGCGCGACUGAAUGAGCCGAUGUCGGAUUAGCUAGUUGGCGGGGUAAAGGCCCACCAAGGCGACGAUCCGUAGCUGGUCUGAGAGGAUGAUCGGCCACACUGGAACUGAGACACGGUCCAGACUCCUACGGGAGGCAGCAGUAGGGAAUAUUGGGCAAUGGGCGCAAGCCUGAUCCAGCCAUACCGCGUGAGUGAAGAAGGCCUUCGGAUUGUAAAGCCCUUUUGUUGGGAAAGAAAAGCAGCGGGUGAAUACCCCGCUGUUCUGACGGUACCCAAAGAGUAAGCACCGGCUAACUUCGUG